CUUAAGAGAAAUCGUCUAGUCCAG
Molecule: non-coding RNA, 24 nt
Filed under: Cricetulus griseus (Chinese hamster)
Lineage: Eukaryota; Metazoa; Chordata; Mammalia; Rodentia; Cricetidae
Source: RNAcentral